This 274-nucleotide ribosomal RNA is filed under the name uncultured bacterium. RNAcentral's name for it is "partial 16S ribosomal RNA". It matches the Rfam family "Bacterial small subunit ribosomal RNA", at positions 523 to 796 of the family's 1533-position model. The record is from RNAcentral.
AUACGUAGGUCCCGAACGUUGCGCGAAAUUACUGGGCGUAAAGGGUCCGUAGGCGGUCUGGUAAGUGGAAGGUGAAAGCCUGGGGCUCAACUCCAGAAUUGCCUUCCAAACUGCCGGACUUGAGGCAGGGAGAGGUCGGCGGAAUUCCCGGUGUAGCGGUGAAAUGCGUAGAUAUCGGGAGGAACUCCAGUGGCGAAGGCGGCCGACUGGAACUGUCCUGACGCUGAGGGACGAAAGCCAGGGGAGCGAACCGGAUUAGAAACCCUAGUAGUCC